CGAACAGAUAAGGAGCUUGCUCCUUUGACGUUAGCGGCGGACGGGUGAGUAACACGUGGGUAACCUACCUAUAAGACUGGGACGACUUCGGGAAACCGGAGCUAAUACCGGAUAAUAUGUUGAACCGCAUGGUUCAAUAGUGAAAGAUGGUUUUGCUAUCACUUAUAGAUGGACCCGCGCCGUAUUAGCUAGUUGGUGAGGUAACGGCUCACCAAGGCAACGAUACGUAGCCGACCUGAGAGGGUGAUCGGCCACACUGGAACUGAGACACGGUCCAGACUCCUACGGGAGGCAGCAGUAGGGAAUCUUCCGCAAUGGGCGAAAGCCUGACGGAGCAACGCCGCGUGAGUGAUGAAGGUCUUAGGAUCGUAAAACUCUGUUAUUAGGGAAGAACAAACGUGUAAGUAACUGUGCACGUCUUGACGGUACCUAAUCAGAAAGCCACGGCUAACUACGUGCCAGCAGCCGCGGUAAUACGUAGGUGGCAAGCGUUAUCCGGAAUUAUUGGGCGUAAAGCGCGCGUAGGCGGUUUUUUAAGUCUGAUGUGAAAGCCCACGGCUCAACCGUGGAGGGUCAUUGGAAGCUGGAAAACUUGAGUGCAGAAGAGGAAAGUGGAAUUCCAUGUGUAGCGGUGAAAUGCGCAGAGAUAUGGAGGAACACCAGUGGCGAAGGCGACUUUCUGGUCUGUAACUGACGCUGAUGUGCGAAAGCGUGGG
RNAcentral lists this ribosomal RNA (716 nucleotides) under uncultured Staphylococcus sp. RNAcentral describes it as "bacterial SSU rRNA". It matches the Rfam family "Bacterial small subunit ribosomal RNA", at positions 63 to 765 of the family's 1533-position model. Lineage: Bacteria; Bacillati; Bacillota; Bacilli; Caryophanales; Staphylococcaceae. The record is from RNAcentral.